This 252-nucleotide ribosomal RNA is filed under the name uncultured bacterium. RNAcentral describes it as "partial 16S ribosomal RNA". It matches the Rfam family "Bacterial small subunit ribosomal RNA", at positions 524 to 776 of the family's 1533-position model. The record is from RNAcentral.
UACGAAGGGGGCUAGCGUUGUUCGGAAUCACUGGGCGUAAAGCGCACGCAGGCGGAUCGAUAAGUCGGGGGUGAAAGCCCGGGGCUCAACCUCGGAAUUGCCUUCGAUACUGUCGGUCUCGAGUCCGGGAGAGGUGAGUGGAAUUCCUAGUGUAGAGGUGAAAUUCGUAGAUAUUAGGAAGAACACCAGUGGCGAAGGCGGCUCACUGGCCGAUUCUGACGCUGAGGCACGAAAGCGUGGGGAGCAAACGGG